UGCGCAGGCGGUUUUGUAAGUCUGAUGUGAAAUCCCCGGGCUCAACCUGGGAAUUGCAUUGGAGACUGCAAGGCUAGAAUCUGGCAGAGGGGGGUAGAAUUCCACGUGUAGCAGUGAAAUGCGUAGAUAUGUGGAGGAACACCGAUGGCGAAGGCAGCCCCCUGGGUCAAGAUUGACGCUCAUGCACGAAAGCGUGGGGAGCAAACA
RNAcentral lists this ribosomal RNA (207 nucleotides) under uncultured bacterium. RNAcentral's name for it is "partial 16S ribosomal RNA". It matches the Rfam family "Bacterial small subunit ribosomal RNA", at positions 568 to 774 of the family's 1533-position model. The record is from RNAcentral.